Molecule: ribosomal RNA, 301 nt
Filed under: uncultured bacterium
Lineage: Bacteria
Description: partial 16S ribosomal RNA
Rfam family: Bacterial small subunit ribosomal RNA
Source: RNAcentral
CAGCAGCCGCGGUAAUACGUAGGGUGCAAGCGUUAAUCGGAAUUACUGGGCGUAAAGCGUGCGCAGGCGGUUAUAUAAGACAGAUGUGAAAUCCCCGGGCUCAACCUGGGAACUGCAUUUGUGACUGUAUAGCUAGAGUACGGCAGAGGGGGAUGGAAUUCCGCGUGUAGCAGUGAAAUGCGUAGAUAUGCGGAGGAACACCGAUGGCGAAGGCAAUCCCGUGGGCCUGUACUGACGCUCAUGCACGAAAGCGUGGGGAGCAAACAGGAUUAGAUACCCCCGUAGUCCCUGUCUCUUAUAC